Molecule: microRNA, 21 nt
Filed under: Solanum lycopersicum (tomato)
Lineage: Eukaryota; Viridiplantae; Streptophyta; Magnoliopsida; Solanales; Solanaceae
Description: sly-miR5304
Source: miRBase by way of RNAcentral
UCAAUGCUACAUACUCAUCCC